AGUGAACGCUGGCGGCAGGCCUAACACAUGCAAGUCGAACGGAAGCACAGUAAGAGCUUGCUCUUACGGGUGGCGAGUGGCGGAUGGGUGAGGCAUACAUCGGAAUCUACUUUUUCGUGGGGGAUAACGUAGGGAAACAUACGCUAAUACCGCAUAUGAUCUACGGGUGAAUGCAGGGGAUCUUCGGACCUUGCGCGAUUGAAUGAGCUGAUGUCGGAUUAGCUAGUUGGCGGGGUAAAGGCCCACCAAGGCGACGAUCCGUAGCUGAUCUGAGAGGAUGAUCGGCCACACUGGAACUGAGACACGGUCCAGACUCCUACGGGAGGCAGCAGUGGGGAAUAUUGGACAAUGGGCGCAAGCCUGAUCCAGCCAUGCCGCGUGGGUGAAGAAGGCCUUCGGGUUGUAAAGCCCUGUUGUUGGGAAAGAAAAGCUGCAGGAUAAUACCCCGCUGUUCUGACGGUACCCAAAGAAUAAGCACCGGCUAACUACGUG
Molecule: ribosomal RNA, 492 nt
Filed under: uncultured bacterium
Lineage: Bacteria
Description: partial 16S ribosomal RNA
Rfam family: Bacterial small subunit ribosomal RNA
Source: RNAcentral